UACAGAGGGUGCGAGCGUUAAUCGGAUUUACUGGGCGUAAAGGGCGCGUAGGCGGAUAUGUGAGUGUGAUGUGAAAGCCCUGGGCUUAACCUGGGAAGUGCAUCGCAAACGACAUAACUGGAGUAUAUGAGAGGGUGGCGGAAUUUCCGGUGUAGCGGUGAAAUGCGUAGAGAUCGGAAGGAACGUCAAUGGCGAAGGCAGCCACCUGGCAUAAUACUGACGCUGAGGCGCGAAAGCGUGGGGAGCGAACAGG
RNAcentral lists this ribosomal RNA (253 nucleotides) under uncultured bacterium. RNAcentral's name for it is "partial 16S ribosomal RNA". It matches the Rfam family "Bacterial small subunit ribosomal RNA", at positions 524 to 776 of the family's 1533-position model. The record is from RNAcentral.